AUGAAAAUUUCAUUGUAUACUAUUGAUGCGCUAUAUGGCUCUAUGCCUCCUAUUCAUAGGUUACUUUGUGCUAGUAGGUCAUGUAAACAGAGUGAAAGAUACAGAAAGCAGCUCAGGUCCAGCCCAUAUGGUCCACCUAUCGUUGCAGGGGAGCAGGGCAUGCAUCUACAGCCGCUCCAAAAAAGCAUGCACCUACAUGGAUCCAAACCACACACUGCACACAGCCGUGUUGACAUUCUAAAGAAAAACACCUGUGUUGACAGAGGUAGUCAUGGCUCCUUCUUUGGUAAGCUACCAUUACUGUUUGGAGCUCAAUAA
RNAcentral lists this ribosomal RNA (318 nucleotides) under Triticum aestivum (bread wheat). Its description in RNAcentral is "partial small subunit ribosomal RNA". Lineage: Eukaryota; Viridiplantae; Streptophyta; Magnoliopsida; Poales; Poaceae. The record is from RNAcentral.